Molecule: ribosomal RNA, 230 nt
Filed under: uncultured bacterium
Lineage: Bacteria
Description: partial 16S ribosomal RNA
Rfam family: Bacterial small subunit ribosomal RNA
Source: RNAcentral
CCUACGGGACGCAGCAGUGGGGAAUAUUGCACAAUGGGGGAAACCCUGAUGCAGCGACGCCGCGGGAGUGAAGAAGUAUUUCGGUAUGUAAAGCUCUAUCAGAAGGGAAGAAAAUGACGGUACCUGACUAAGAAGCCCCGGCUAACUACGUGCCAGCAGCCGCGGUACUACGUAGGGGGCAAGCGUUAUCCGGAUUUACUGGGUGUAAAGGGAGCGUAGACGGUGAUGCA